Molecule: long non-coding RNA, 253 nt
Organism: Dreissena polymorpha
Lineage: Eukaryota; Metazoa; Mollusca; Bivalvia; Myida; Dreissenidae
Exons: 3
Source: RefSeq, a predicted model, not a curated record
UUCAUUAACGUAUUGUCAUACUCUUGAAACAGUGUACAUGCUAUAAUCAUUUGGUUCUUUUUUAUCAGUUUUUUCCUCAUGUAAUUCAGGCACUGACUGUCGUGGAGAAAAACAUCCAAGAUACCUUUUCAGAAAACGGGAACCACCCUUUGGUAAAGCUCGUAGCUAACGAAAAGCUGAAAUCAGCUUUCAAGAAGAACAAAAGACUAGUUUCAUCGUAUACAGAAUCCGUCCUCGUCAAGGAAGCGUGUUC